AGAGUUUGAUCCUGGCUCAGAACGAACGUUGGCGGCGUGGAUUAGGCAUGCAAGUCGAACGAAGCAGCGGGGCAACUCGCUGACUGAGUGGCGAAAGGGGCAGUAAGGCGUGGGUAACCUACCCUCCGGGCCGGGAUAGCUUCGGGAAACUGAAGGUAAUACCGGGCGACGCAGCGGGAUCGCAUGGUUCUGCUGCCAAAGGUCCGCCGCCGGGGGAGGGGCUCACGUGAUAUUAGCUUGUUGGCGGGGUAACGGCCCACCAAGGCAAAGAUGUCUAGCAGGUGUGAGAGCACGACCUGCGCCACUGGCACUGAGACACUGGCCAGACACCUACGGGUGGCUGCAGUCGAGGAUCUUCGGCAAUGGGCGCAAGCCUGACCGAGCGACGCCGCGUGUGCGAUGAAGGCCUUCGGGUUGUAAAGCACUGUCGAGGGGGAGGAAGCCGCAAGGUUGACCUAUCCCUGGAGGAAGCACGGGCUAAGUUCGUGCCAGCAGCCGCGGUAAGACGAACCGUGCGAACGUUGUUCGGAAUCACUGGGCUUAAAGGGCGCGUAGGCGGACCACCAAGUCCGGGGUGAAAUCCUCCGGCUUAACCGGAGAAUUGCCUGGGAUACUGGUGGUCUUGAGGGAGGUAGGGGCACGCGGAACUUCCGGUGGAGCGGUGAAAUGCGUUGAUAUCGGAAGGAACGCCGGUGGCGAAAGCGGCGUGCUGGCCCUCUUCUGACGCUAAGGCGCGAAAGCCAGGGGAGCGAACGGGAUUAGAUACCCCGGUAGUCCUGGCCCUAAACGAUGGGUACUAG
Molecule: ribosomal RNA, 800 nt
Filed under: uncultured bacterium
Lineage: Bacteria
Description: bacterial SSU rRNA
Rfam family: Bacterial small subunit ribosomal RNA
Source: RNAcentral